GUCUACGGCCAUGGCACCCUGAACAAGCCCGAUGUCUGAUCUCGGAAGCUGAGCAGGGUCGGGCCUGGUUCGUACUUGGAUGGGAGACCACCUAGGAAGACCAGGUGCUGUAGGCG
Molecule: ribosomal RNA, 116 nt
Filed under: Pteropus alecto (black flying fox)
Lineage: Eukaryota; Metazoa; Chordata; Mammalia; Chiroptera; Pteropodidae
Source: RNAcentral